UACGGAGGAUGCGAGCGUUAUCCGGAUUUAUUGGGUUUAAAGGGUGCGUAGGCGGGCAUUUAAGUCAGCGGUAAAAAUUCGGGGCUCAACCCCGUCCGGCCGUUGAAACUGGGGGUCUUGAGUGGGCGAGAAGAAGGCGGAAUGCGUGGUGUAGCGGUGAAAUGCAUAGAUAUCACGCAGAACCCCGAUUGCGAAGGCAGCCUUCCGGCGCCCUACUGACGCUGAGGCACGAAAGUGCGGGGAUCGAACAGG
This 252-nucleotide ribosomal RNA is filed under the name uncultured bacterium. RNAcentral's name for it is "partial 16S ribosomal RNA". It matches the Rfam family "Bacterial small subunit ribosomal RNA", at positions 524 to 776 of the family's 1533-position model. The record is from RNAcentral.